Molecule: ribosomal RNA, 400 nt
Filed under: Russula aff. flavida 297-638
Lineage: Eukaryota; Fungi; Basidiomycota; Agaricomycetes; Russulales; Russulaceae
Description: eukaryotic LSU rRNA
Rfam family: 5.8S ribosomal RNA (bases 1-105)
Source: RNAcentral
GAAAUGCGAUACGUAAUGUGAAUUGCAGAAUUCAGUGAAUCAUYGAAUCUUUGAACGCACCUUGCGCCCCUUGGCAUUCCGAGGGGCACACCCGUUUGAGUGUCGUGAAAUUCUCAAAGUCCUUUUCUUUGAUCAUUUCGAUCAAGAAAAGGGUUUUGGACUUGGAGGGUUAAUGCUCACUUUUUGAAAGUGAGCUCCUCUUAAAUGAAUUAGUGGGGGUUUGCUUUGCUAAUCCUUGACGUGAUAAGGUGAUUCUACGUUUUGGAUUUAGYACUGUCCCUUUAGAACACCCGCUUCUAAUUGUCCCAUGGACGACGAUGGUGUUCCRGUCACAUCGGCUGGAACCCACACAAAGAAAAACCUUGACCUCAAAUCGGGUGAGACUACCCGCUGAACUUAA